CGUUGUUGCAAGUGACAGGUAGCAAGCAAGGAGGCCUGAGAAGACAAACUCAAAAAGAUGGUUUGAGGGUAGAAAGCUGCCUUGGAAUUUCUGCAGAUUUGAUCUUUGUCUAAAUGAUUUCUGAUCUACUGAAAUUAGAACAUAUGCCAUUUUGACACAUUUUCCCUCCAGCCCAGAGGAAAUGAAUCAGCUAUGGUGUUUGUCUCUCUGCCUCACUACAGCUGGAGGUCACAUGAGACAUUUGUGCUUAUUUAUUUCCUCCAAAGGAGGAUUUCUGAUUAGUUUUUUCACCUUCUAACCUUCCGUCUAUGUCCAAAUCCAAGGCAUGUGGUGCAAUGGGACUCGUAGGAUGUAAAUAAUUGCUGAGAUUGAUAACAUUACUAUUAAAGGAAUAUGCUGCUCAAAUUCCUUUGAGGAACGAAUCCUCAGCAGUUCCUCACUGAAGAAGGAUGGCAGAUGAAGCUUUCCCUGAGAGAAACUGUUGUGGAAGAGAGUAUCAUCGAAAAGCUUCUUGCGUCAGUGGAAUUGAUGUCAGAAUGAUGUUUGCGUUGCUUUUAAGUAUUUAAGUUUUGGAUUCUUCUCCAUAUUUUAUUGAUUUUCCUCUUUGUGUUUCUCAUUAUUUCCCUUUUUGCUGUGUUUCAUAGUCCAUGUCUUCCUCUCCUUUUCAGUUCUGGUCACUCCCUCUUUAAUUUUGGCAGUCACAUUUCCCUGUGUGUCUUUUUUUACUUCCUGUUUUUUGUCCUUUUCCCUUCGUUAUACCCAAUUUCUCCACUUUGAUUAGCUUCGCCUAUAUUGAUGUAGUCCAUUCCUGCUUUUUCUUUCUCUCCCUGGUGUUCAGUGACUUUUAAUUUAUUUUUUGGAUUUUUUUGUGGAUAUUUUAAUUUUUGACUAUUAAAAAAAUAAGAGCUUGUUUUUUUUGUUUGUUUGUUUAGACAUACCUGCAUCUUGUGUCCUGCAUUUGAUACAUUUACAACAUAACAAUGAUUGAUUGGUGGUGGUGGGUGAUUGAACCUUACUAGUCCUUGGUUGGGUCUUUUGCUUUCAGAACUGUCUGAGUUCAUGGCACAGAUUUGGUCACAGAGUGUCAUGAUAACAUCACAUAAUUUUUUUGUUUUUGUUUUUUACAUGAAAAUGGGCUUCAUUUGUAACAAAUAAAUAUGUAAAAAUACCCCAAAAAUUCUGGUGAAAGUCUGUAAAUUCACGAAAAAUGUCAUUUUAUUAUUAUUCUUAUUUAUUUUUUUAUUGUGGACCCAUUGUAAAAAAACUAAAAAACUUGGAUGUUUAAAAAACUUGAACUUUAAUGUCAUUUAAUUGUUCUGUUAAUUGCAUUACUAUUAUUUAAUUGCUUUGGUGUAGCAUGAAUGGACAUGUGGAAAGUCUUUAUUAUGGGAAAAGCUGUAAAAUGUAUGAAAAUUAAAUUAAAAGUCCAAAAUCAAUGUUCUUCUUUGUAUUUUCCAAAGUCAAUCAGUGGACCGGAU
Long non-coding RNA from Astatotilapia calliptera (eastern happy), 1478 nucleotides. NCBI's taxonomy places the organism in Eukaryota, Metazoa, Chordata, Actinopteri, Cichliformes, Cichlidae. The record is from Ensembl.